RNAcentral lists this ribosomal RNA (256 nucleotides) under uncultured bacterium. Its description in RNAcentral is "partial 16S ribosomal RNA". It matches the Rfam family "Bacterial small subunit ribosomal RNA", at positions 522 to 776 of the family's 1533-position model. The record is from RNAcentral.
UACGGGGGGGGGGCAAGCGUUGUUCGGAAUUACUGGGCGUAAAGGGCUCGUAGGCGGCCAACUAAGUCAGACGUGAAAUCCCUCAGCUUAACUGGGGAACUGCGUCUGAUACUGGAUGGCUUGGAUUUGGGAGAGGGAUGCGGAAUUCCAGGUGUAGCGGUGAAAUGCGUAGAUAUCUGGAGGAACACCGGUGGCGAAGGCGGCAUCCUGGACCAAUAUUGACGCUGAGGAGCGAAAAGCCAGGGGAGCAAACGGG